CAGCGGAAAAAUGGCCAAAAAACGGGUGGGCUAUAGCCUGGUGCGGGGCGCGGUCGAAGUUCGUCCGCCGGACUCGGAAUGGGGCGAGACUUUGCGAGGGGCCUCGGGGUGCCCGCGGGAAGUCGCGGGCACAGCCGCGUCCAAAAAUAAGCGCCCGAAGGUCGUGGUGCCAAAACCCCCCAGCGGAAAAAUGGCCAAAAAACGGGUGGGCUAUAGCCUUGGUGGGGGGCGCGGGCGAAGUUCGUCCGCCGGACUCGGAAUGGGGCGAGACUUUACGAGGGGCCUCGGGGUGCCCGCGGGAAGUCGCGGGCACAGCCGCGUCCAGAAAUAAGCGCCCGAAGGUCGUGGUGCCCAAAACCCCCCAGCGGAAAAAUGGCCAAAAAACGGGUGGGCUAUAGCCUUGGUGUGGGGCGCGGGCGAAGUUCGUCCGCCGGACUCGGAAUGGGGCGAGCCUUUGCGAGGGGCCUCGGGGUGCCAAAAAUAAGCCGCGGCCAAGGCCGCGCCCAAAAAUAAGCGCCCGAAGGUCGUGGUGCCAAAACCCCCCAGCGGAAAAAUGGCCAAAAAACGGGUGGGCUAUAGCCUUGGUGGGGGGCGCGGGCGAAGUUCGUCCGCCGGACUCGGAAUGGGGCGAGACUUUGCGAGGGGCCUCGGGGCGCCAAAAAUAAGCCGCGGGCAAAGCCGCCGCCCAAAAAUAAGCGCCCGAAGGUCGUGGUGCCAAAACCCCCCAGCAGAAAAAUGGCCAAAAAACGGGUGGGCUAUAGCCUUGGUGGGGGGCGCGGGCGAAGUUUGUCCGCCGGACUCGGAAUAGGGCGAGACUUUGCGAGGGGCCUCAUGGUGCCAAAAAUAAGCCGCGGGCAAAGCCGCGCCCAAAAAUAAGUGCCCAAAGGUCGUGGUGCCAAAACCCCCCAGCGGAAAAAUGGCCAAAAAACGGGUGGGCUAUAGCCUUGGUGGGGGGCGCGGGCGAAGUUCGUCCGCCGGACUCGGAAUGGGGCGAGACUUUGCGCGGGGCCUCAGGGCGCCAAAAAUAAGCCGCGGGCAAAGCCGCGCCCAAAAAUAAGCGCCCGAAGGUCGUGGUGCCAAAACCCCCCAGCGGAAAAAUGGCCAAAAAACGGGUGGGCUAUAACCUUGGUGGGGGGGGCGGGCGAAGUUCUUCCGCCGGACUCGGAAUGGGGCGAGACUUUGCGAGGGGCCUCGGGGCACCAAAAAUAAGCCGCGCGCAAAGCCGCGCCCAAAAAUAAGCGCCCGAAGGUCGUGGUGCCAAAACCCCCCAGCGGAAAAAUGGCCAAAAAACGGGUGGGCUAUAGCCUUGGUGGGGGGCGGGGGCGAGGUUCGUCCGCCGGACUCUGAAUGGGGCGAGACUUUGCGCGGGGCCUCGGGGCACCAAAAAUAAGCCGCGGGCAAAGCCGCGCCCAAAAAUAAGCGCCCGAAGGUCGUGGUGCCAAAACACCCCAGCGGAAAAAUGGCCAAAAAACGGGUGGGCUAUAGCCUCGGUGGGGGGCGCGGGCGAAGUUCGUCCGCCGGACUCGGAAUGGGGCGAGAAUUUGCGAGGGGCCUCGGGGUGCCCGCGGGAAGUCGCGGGCACAGCCAAGUCCAAAAAUAAGCGCCCGAAGGUCGUGGUGCCAAAACCCCCCAGCGGAAAAAUGGCCAAAAAACGGGUGGGCUAUAGCCUUGGUGGGGGGCGCGGGCGAAGUUCGUCCGCCGGACUUGGAAUGGGGCGAGACUUUGCGAGGGGCCUCGGGGUGCCCGCGGGAAGUCGCGGGCACAGCCGCGUCUAGAAAUAAGCGCCCGAAGGUCGUGGUGCCAAAACCCGCCAGCGGAAAAAUGGCCAAAAAACGGGUGGGCUAUAGCCUUGGUGGGGGGCGCGGGCGAAGUUCGUCCGCCGGACUUGGAAUGGGGCGAGACUUUGCGAGGGGCCUCGGGGUGCCCGCGGGAAGUCGCGGACACAGCCGCGUCUAGAAAUAAGCGCCCGAAGGUCGUGGUGCCAAAACCCCCCAGCGGAAAAAUGGCCAAAAAACGGGUGGGCUAUAGCCUUGGUGGGGGGCGCGGGCGAAGUUCGUCCGCCGGACUCGGAAUGGGACGAGACUUUGCGAGGGGCCUCGGGGCACCAAAAAUAAGCCGCGGGGAAAGCCGCGCCCAAAAAUAAGCGCCCGAAGGUCGUGGUGCCAAAACCCCCCAGCGGAAAAAUGGCCAAAAAACGGGUGGGCUAUAGCCUUGGUGGGGGGCGCGGGCGAAGUUCGUCCGCCGGACUCGGAAUGGGGCGAGACUUUACGAGGGGCCUCGGGGUGCCCGCGGGAAGUCGUGGGCACAGCCGGGUCCAGAAAUAAGCACCCGAAGGUCGUGGUGCCAAAACCCCCAGCGGAAAAAUGGCCAAAAAACGGGUGGGCUAUAGCCUUGGUGGGAGGCGCGGGCGAAGUUCGUCCACCGGACUCGGAAUGGGGCGAGACUUUGCGCGGGGCCUCGGGGUACCAAAAAUAAGCCGCGGGCAAAGCCGCGCCCAAAAAUAAGCGCCCGAAAGUCGUGGUGCCAAAACCCCCCAGCGGAAAAAUGGCCAAAAAACGGGUGGGCUAUAGCCUUGGUGGGGGGUGCGGGCGAAGUUCGUCCGCCGGACUCGGAAUGGGGCGAGACUUUGCGAGGGGCCUCGGGGUGGCCAAAAUAAGCCGCGGGCGAAGCCGCGCCCAAAAAUAUCGCCCAAAGGUCGUGGUGCCAAAACCCCCCAGCGGAAAAAUGGCCAAAAAACGGGUGGGCUAUAGCCUUGGUGGGGGGCGCGGGCGAAGUUCGUCCGCCGGACUCGGAAUGGGGCGAGAUUUUGCGCGGGGCCUCGGGGCGCCAAAAAUAAGCCGCGGGCAAAGCCGCGCCCAAAAAUAAGCGCCCGAAGGUCGUGGUGCCAAAACCCCCCAGCGGAAAAAUGGCCAAAAAACGGGUGGGCUAUAGCCUUGGUGGGGGGCGCGGGCGAAGUUCGUCCGCCGGACUUGGAAUGGGGCGAGACUUUGCGAGGGGCCUCGGGGCACCAAAAAUAAGCCGCGGGCAAAGCCGCGCCCAAAUAUAAGCGCCCGAAGGUCGUGGUGCCAAAACCCCCCAGCGGAAAAAUGGCCAAAAAACGGGUGGGCUAUAGCCUUGGUGGGGGGCGCGGGCGAAGUUCGUCCGCCGGACUCGGAAUGGGGCGAGACUUUGCGAGGGGCCUCGGGGCGCCAAAAAUAAGCCGCGGGCAAAGCCGUACCCAAAAAUAAGUGCCCGAAGGUCGUGGUGCCAAAACCCCCCAGCGGAAAAAUGGCCAAAAAACGCGUGGGCUAUAGCCUUGGUGGGGGGCGCGGGCGAAGUUCGUCUGCCGGACUCGGAAAGGGGCGAGACUCUGCGCGGGGCCUCGGGGCGGCAAAAAUAAGCCGCGGGCAAAGCCGCGCCCAAAAAUAAGCACCCGAAGGUCGUGGUGCCAAAACCCCCCAGCGGAAAAAUGGCCAAAAAACGGGUGGGCUAUAGCCUUGGUGGGGGGCGCGGGCGAAGUUCGUCCGCCGGACUCGGAAUGGGGCGAGACUUUGUGAGAGGCCUCGGGGUGCCCGCAGGAAGUCGCGGGCACAGCCGCGCCCAAAAAUAAGCGCCCGAAGGUCGUGGUGCCAAAACCCCCCAGCGGAAAAAUGGCCAAAAAACGGGUGGGCUAUAGCCUUGGUGGGGGGCGCGGGCGAAGUUCGUCCGCCGGACUUGGAAUGGGGCGAGACUUUGCGAGGGGCCUCGGGGUGCCCGCGGGAAGUCGCGGGCACAGCCGCGUCCAGAAAUAAGCACCCGAAGGUCGUGGUGCCAAAACCCCCCAGCGGAAAAAAGGCCAAAAAACGGGUGGGCUAUAGCCUUGGUGGGGGGCGCGGGCGAAGUUCGUGCGCCGGACUCGGAAUGGGGCGAGACUUUGCGAGGGGCCUCGGGGUGCCCGCAGGAAGUCGUGGGCACAGCCGCGUCUAGAAAUAAGCGCCCGAAGGUCGUGGUGCCAAAACCCCUCAGCGGAAAAAUGGCCAAAAAACGGGUGGGCUAUAGCCUUGGUGGGGGGCGCGGGCGAAGUUCGUCCGCCGGACUCAGAAUGGGGCGAGACUUUGCGAGGGGCCUCGGGGUGCCCGCGGGAAGUCGCGGGCACAGCCGCGUCCAGAAAUAAGCGCCCGAAGGUCGUGGUGCCAAAACCCCCCGGCGGAAAAAUGGCCAAAAAACGGGUGGGCUAUAGCCUUGGUGGGGGGCGCGGGCGAAGUUCGUCCGCCGGACUCGGAAUGGGGCGAGACUUUGCGCGGGGCCUCGGGUCGCCAAAAAUAAGCCGCGGGCAAAGCCGCGCCCAAAAAUAAGCGCCCGAAGGUCGUGGUGCCAAAACCCCCCAGCGGAAAAAUGGCCAAAAAACGGGUGGGCUAUAGCCUUGGUGGGGGGCGCGGGCGAAGUUCGUCCGCCGGACUUGGAAUGGGGCGAGACUUUGCGCGGGGCCUCGGGGUGCCCGCGGGAAAUCGCGGGCACAGCCGCGUCCAGAAAUAAGCGCCCGAAGGUCGUGGUGCCAAAACCCCCCAGCGGAAAAAUGGCCAAAAAACGGGUGGGCUAUAGCCUUGGUGGGGGGCGCGGGCGAAGUUCGUCCACCGGACUCGGAAUGGGGCGAGACUUUACGAGGGGCCUCGGGGUGCCCGCGGGAAGUCGCGGGCACAGCCGCGUCCAGAAAUAAGCGCCCGAAGGUCGUGGUGCCAAAACCCCCCAGCGGAAAAAAGGCCAAAAAACGGGUGGGCUAUAGCCUUGGUGGGGGGCGCGGGCGAAGUUCGUCCGCCGGACUCGGAAUGGGGCGAGACUUUGCGAGGGGCCUCGGGGAGCCCGCGGGAAGUCGCGGGCACAGCCGCGUCCAGAAAUAAGCGCCCGAAGGUCGUGGUGCCAAAACCCCCCAGCGGAAAAAUGGCCAAAAAACGGGUGGGCUAUAGCCUUGGUGGGGGGCGCGGGCGAAGUUCGUCCGCCGGACUCGGAAUGGGACGAGACUUUGCGGGGGGCCUCGGGGCACCAAAAAUAAGCCGCGGGCAAAGCCGCGCCCAAAAAUAAGCGCCCGAAGGUCGUGGUGCCAAAACCCCCCGGCGGAAAAAUGGCCAAAAAACGGGUGGGCUAUAGCCUUGGUGGGGGGCGCGGGCGAAGUUCGUCCGCCGGACUCGGAAUGGGGCGAGACUUUGCGCGGGGCCUCGGGACGCCAAAAAUAAGCCGCGGGCAAAGCCGCGCCCAAAAAUAAGCGCCCGAAGGUCGUGGUGCCAAAACCCCCCAUCGGAAAAAUGGCCACAAAACGGGUGGGCUAUAGCCUUGGUGGGGGGCGCGGCCGAAGUUCGUCCGCCGGACUCGGAAUGGGGCGAGACUUUGCGAGGGGCCUCGGGGCGCCAAAAAUAAGCCGCGGGCAAAGCCGCGCCCAAAAAUAAGCGCCCGAAGGUCGUUGUGCCAAAACCCCCCAUCGGAAAAAUGGCCAAAAAACGGGUGGGCUAUAGCCUUGGUGGGGGGCGCGGGCGAAGUUCGUCCGCCGGACUCGGAAUGGGGCGAGACUUUGCGCGGGGCCUCGGGACGCCAAAAAUAAGCCGCGGGCAAAGCCGCGCCCAAAAAUAAGCGCCCGAAGGUCGUGGUGCCAAAACCCCCCAUCGGAAAAAUGGCCAAAAAACGGGUGGGCUAUAGCCUUGGUGGGGGGCGCGGCCGAAGUUUGUCCGCCGGACUCGGAAUGGGGCGAGACUUUGCGAGGGGCCUCGGGGCGCCAAAAAUAAGCCGCGGGCAAAGCCGCGCCCAAAAAUAAGCGCCCGAAGGUCGUUGUGCCAAAACCCCCCAUCGGAAAAAUGGCCAAAAAACGGGUGGGCUAUAGCCUUGGUGGGGGGCGCGGGCGAAGUUCGUCCGCCGGACUCGGAAUGGGGCGAGACUUUGCGCGGGGCCUCGGGGCGCCAAAAAUAAGCCGCGGGCAAAGCCGCGCCCAAAAAUAAGCGCCCGAAGGUCGUGGUGCCAAAACCCCCCAGCGGAAAAAUGGCCAAAAAACGGGUGGGCUAUAGCCUUGGUGGGGGGCGCGGGCGAAGUUCGUCCGCCGGACUCGGAAUGGGGCGAGACUUUGCGCGGGGCCUCGGGGUGCCCGCGGGAAGUCGCAGGCACAGCCGCGUCCAGAAAUAAGCGCCCGAAGGUCGUGGUGCCAAAACCCCCCAGCGGAAAAAUGGCCAAAAAACGGGUGGGCUAUAGCCUUGGUGGGGGGCGCGGGCGAAGUUCGUCCACCGGACUCGGAAUGGGGCGAGACUUUACGAGGGGCCUCGGGGUGCCCGCGGGAAGUCGCGGGCAUAGCCGCGUCCAGAAAUAAGCGCCCGAAGGUCGUGGUGCCAAAACCCCCCAGCGGAAAAAAGGCCAAAAAACGGGUGGGCUAUAGCCUUGGUGGGGGGCGCGGGCGAAGUUCGUCCGCCGGACUCGGAAUGGGGCGAGACUUUGCGAGGGGCCUCGGGGAGCCCGCGGGAAGUCGCGGGCACAGCCGCGUCCAGAAAUAAGCGCCCGAAGGUCGUGGUGCCAAAACCCCCCAGCGGAAAAAUGGCCAAAAAACGGGUGGGCUAUAGCCUUGGUGGGGGGCGCGGGCGAAGUUCGUCCGCCGGACUCGGAAUGGGACGAGACUUUGCGAGGGGCCUCGGGGCACCAAAAAUAAGCCGCGGGCAAAGCCGCGCCCAAAAAUAAGCGCCCGAAGGUCGUGGUGCCAAACCCCCCGGCGGAAAAAUGGCCAAAAAACGGGUGGGCUAUAGCCUUGGUGGGGGGGGCGGGCGAAGUUCGUCCGACGGACUCGGAAUGGGGCGAGACUUUGCGCGGGGCCUCGGGGCGCCAAAAAUAAGCCGCGGGCAAAGCCGCGCCCAAAAAUAAGCGCCCGAAGGUCGUGGUGCCAAAACCCCCCAUCGGAAAAAUGGCCAAAAAACGGGUGGGCUAUAGCCUUGGUGGGGGGCGCGGGCGAAGUUCGUCCGCCGGACUCGGAAUGGGGCGAGACUUUGCGAGGGGCCUCGGGGUGCCAAAAAUAAGCCGCGGGCAAA
This 7010-nucleotide long non-coding RNA is filed under the name Citrus x clementina. RNAcentral describes it as "Citrus clementina (C. clementina) long non-coding RNA (CCLE_LNC002226)". Lineage: Eukaryota; Viridiplantae; Streptophyta; Magnoliopsida; Sapindales; Rutaceae. The record is from RNAcentral.